UACGGGGGGGGCAAGCGUUGUUCGGAAUUACUGGGCGUAAAGGGCUCGUAGGUGGCCAACUAAGUCAGACGUGAAAUCCCUCAGCUUAACUGGGGAACUGCGUCUGAUACUGGAUGGCUUGAGUUUGGGAGAGGGAUGCGGAAUUCCAGGUGUAGCGGUGAAAUGCGUAGAUAUCUGGAGGAACACCGGUGGCGAAGGCGGCAUCCUAGACCAACACUGACACUGAGGAGCGAAAGCCAGGGGAGCAAACGGG
Molecule: ribosomal RNA, 253 nt
Filed under: uncultured bacterium
Lineage: Bacteria
Description: partial 16S ribosomal RNA
Rfam family: Bacterial small subunit ribosomal RNA
Source: RNAcentral